CCUACGGGAGGCAGCAGUGGGGAAUAUUGCACAAUGGGGGAAACCCUGAUGCAGCGACGCCGCGUGAGUGAAGAAGUACUUCGGUAUGUAAAGCUCUAUCAGCAGGGAAGAAAUAAAGUCCUUCGGACUUUGGACGGUACCUGACUAAGAAGCCUCGGCUAACUACGUGCCAGCAGCCGCGGUAAUACGUAGGGGGCAAGCGGUAUCUGGAUUUACUGGGUGUAAAGGGAGCGUAGACGGCAGCGCAAGUCUGGGGUGAAAUCCAAUGGCUUAACCAUGGAAAUGCUUUGGAAACUGGGCAGCUGGAGUGCAGGAGAGGUAAGCGGAAUUCCUGGUGUGGCGGUGAAGUGCGUAGAUAUUAGGAGGAACACCAGUGGCGAAGGCGGCUUACUGGACUGUAACUGACGUUGAGGCUCGAAGGCGUGGGGAGCAAACAGGAUUAGAUACCCCGUAGUC
Molecule: ribosomal RNA, 456 nt
Filed under: uncultured bacterium
Lineage: Bacteria
Description: partial 16S ribosomal RNA
Rfam family: Bacterial small subunit ribosomal RNA
Source: RNAcentral